AUGGACGGGUACCGCGCCCAGCUCGCGCGCUGGCUCCAGCUCCUCGCCGCCAAGGGCGUCCAGGACCUCCUCCUCGUGAACCGCCCGUGGCCGCUCGAGGUGCCCCUCCCCGCCACGCUCUUCACCAUCACCACCCUCACCCGCCUCUACGUCGGCGUCUGGAAGUUGCCGGGCACGGCCGCCCUGCGUGGCGCCUCCUUUCCCCGCCUCCGGGAGCUCGGCCUCUAUUUCGUCGAAAUGGAGCACGGCGUCGUCGACUCCCUCGUCGCCAGGAGCCCCGUCCUGGAGAUCCUCAACAUCGUGGGAUGCAUGAAGGGUGGGUUGCGUCUACGUCUCGUCAGCCAGAGCCUGCGGUGCCUGCAAAUCUGCGGCUUUGUUUUGGAGGACAUCGCCGUGGUGAAGACUCCAUGCCUCGAGCGGUUCAUCCUGUCAUCGCCUUGCAAACCCGCUGGUGGCUUGUGCACCAGGCUCAGGAUUGUCGAUGCCCCCAAGCUGCAGGCGUUUGGAUAUUUAGAGCCAGGACAGAUCCUAGAGGUCCAAGGCACUGUCAUCAUGCCCGGAAUAAAGGCGAGCGAAAGUGCCUUGCUCACAAGCGUGAAGAUUCUUAGUUUGAAUGUGUGUUUCGGGGUUCGCAAUGACGUUAAGAUGGUGCCCACCUUCCUCAAAUGCUUUCCCAACGCCGAGAGACUGCAUAUUAUGAGCGCAAAAUGUGGUCAGCCCACUGGUAACCGCCUCACCGUCAAGUUCUGGGAGGAGUCUGAUCCCAAACAAAACCUCCUCUCGCGCAUCAACAUGCUGACUUUCCGGGAGUUCAAAGGGGACCGAGGUGAGGUUGGCUUCCUAGAGUUCGUCUUUCAGAGUGCACGGGCGCUGGACAAGGUAGCUAUUUUCAUGGCCAAUCCAAGCUUCAUGCGGUUCUCGACGGACGAGGCGCUUGUCAAGGCGCAAUACAGCGCUAGAAACCUGGCGAGUAAAUAUUGUGAAAAGUGCAUCAUCUGGAGUAGCCGUCCUGAAGGAGGCGAUGCUUGGAGCCUCAGAGUCGGGGCAGAUUUCUCCUUCGAGGACCCGUUCACGGUGAUGCCGGCGAGGAAGGAGGACAGCUGA
RNAcentral lists this ribosomal RNA (1104 nucleotides) under Triticum aestivum (bread wheat). RNAcentral describes it as "partial small subunit ribosomal RNA". Lineage: Eukaryota; Viridiplantae; Streptophyta; Magnoliopsida; Poales; Poaceae. The record is from RNAcentral.